Molecule: ribosomal RNA, 398 nt
Filed under: uncultured bacterium
Lineage: Bacteria
Description: partial 16S ribosomal RNA
Rfam family: Bacterial small subunit ribosomal RNA
Source: RNAcentral
AUACGUAGGGUGCGAGCGUUGUCCGGAAUUACUGGGCGUAAAGAGCUCGUAGGUGGUUUGUCGCGUCGUCUGUGAAAUUCCGGGGCUUAACUCCGGGCGUGCAGGCGAUACGGGCAUAACUUGAGUACUGUAGGGGAGACUGGAAUUCCUGGUGUAGCGGUGAAAUGCGCAGAUAUCAGGAGGAACACCGGUGGCGGAGGCGGUUCUCUGGGCAGUAACUGACGCUGAGGAGCGAAAGCAUGGGUAGCGAACAGGAUUAGAUACCCUGGUAGUCCAUGCCGUAAACGGUGGGCGCUAGGUGUAGGGGUCUUCCACGACUUCUGUGCCGUAGCUAACGCAUUAAGCGCCCCGCCUGGGGAGUACGGCCGCAAGGCUAAAACUCAAAGGAAUUGACGGGG